UACGUAGGGUGCGAGCGUUAAUCGGAUUUACUGGGCGUAAAGCGUGCGCAGGCGGCCCGUUAAGACAGGUGUGAAAUCCCUGGGCUCAACCUAGGAAUUGCGCUUGUGACUGGCGGGCUCGAGUACGGUAGAGGGGGGUGGAAUUCCUGGUGUAGCAGUGAAAUGCGUAGAGAUCAGGAGGAACACCGAUGGCGAAGGCAGCCCCCUGGGCCCGUACUGACGCUCAUGCACGAAAGCGUGGGGAGCAAACAGG
RNAcentral lists this ribosomal RNA (253 nucleotides) under uncultured microorganism. Its description in RNAcentral is "partial 16S ribosomal RNA". It matches the Rfam family "Bacterial small subunit ribosomal RNA", at positions 524 to 776 of the family's 1533-position model. The record is from RNAcentral.